GACGAACGCUGGCGGCGUGCUUAACACAUGCAAGUCGAACGGAAAGGCCCCUUUGGGGGUACUCGAGUGGCGAACGGGGGAGUAACACGUGAGUAACCUGCCCUUGACUUCGGGAUAACUUCAGGAAACUGGGGCUAAUACCGGAUAGGAAUCCUUGCUGCAUGGGGGGGGUUGGAAAGCUUCGGCGGGUUUGGAUGGACUCGCGGCUUAUCAGCUUGUUGGUGGGGUAGUGGCUUACCAAGGCUUUGACGGGUAGCCGGCCUGAGAGGGCGACCGGCCACAUUGGGACUGAGAGGCGGCCCCGACUCCUACGGGAGGCAGCAGUGGGGAAUCUUGCACAAUGGGCGGAAGCCUGAUGCAGCAACGCCGCGUGCGGGAUGACGGCCUUCGGGUUGUAAACCGCGUUCAGCAGGGGCGAAGCUUGUGGUGACGGUACCUGCAGAAGAAGCACCGGCUAACUACGUG
Molecule: ribosomal RNA, 465 nt
Filed under: uncultured bacterium
Lineage: Bacteria
Description: partial 16S ribosomal RNA
Rfam family: Bacterial small subunit ribosomal RNA
Source: RNAcentral